GAUCAUGGCUCAGGAUGAACGCUGGCGGCGCGCUUAACACAUGCAAGUCGAGCGAAGCACUUAGGAAAGAUUCUUCGGAUGAUUUCCUAUUUGACUGAGCGGCGGACGGGUGAGUAACGCGUGGGUAACCUGCCUCAUACAGGGGGAUAACAGUUAGAAAUGACUGCUAAUACCGCAUAAGACCACAGCACCGCAUUGUGCAGGGGUAAAAACUCCGGUGGUAUGANAUGGACCCGCG
Molecule: ribosomal RNA, 238 nt
Filed under: uncultured bacterium
Lineage: Bacteria
Description: partial 16S ribosomal RNA
Rfam family: Bacterial small subunit ribosomal RNA
Source: RNAcentral